UACAGAGGUGGCAAGCGUUGUUCGGAAUUACUGGGCGUAAAGGGCGCGUAGGCGGUUUCGUAAGUCCUGUGUGAAAUCCCCCGGCUCAACUGGGGAACUGCACAGGAAACUGCGAGGCUUGAGUUCGGGAGAGGGAAGCGGAAUUCCGGGUGUAGCGGUGAAAUGCGUAGAUAUCGGGAGGAACACCAAUGGCGAAGGCAGCUCGCUGGGACGUUACUGACGCUGAGACGCGAAAGCGUGGGGAGCAAACAGG
RNAcentral lists this ribosomal RNA (253 nucleotides) under uncultured bacterium. Its description in RNAcentral is "partial 16S ribosomal RNA". It matches the Rfam family "Bacterial small subunit ribosomal RNA", at positions 524 to 776 of the family's 1533-position model. The record is from RNAcentral.